This 830-nucleotide ribosomal RNA is filed under the name Fusarium nectrioides. RNAcentral describes it as "eukaryotic LSU rRNA". It matches the Rfam family "Eukaryotic large subunit ribosomal RNA", at positions 74 to 935 of the family's 3401-position model. Lineage: Eukaryota; Fungi; Ascomycota; Sordariomycetes; Hypocreales; Nectriaceae. The record is from RNAcentral.
AUUGCCCUAGUAACGGCGAGUGAAGCGGCAACAGCUCAAAUUUGAAAUCUGGCUCUCGGGCCCGAGUUGUAAUUUGUAGAGGAUGCUUUUGGCAAGGUGCCUUCCGAGUUCCCUGGAACGGGACGCCAUAGAGGGUGAGAGCCCCGUCUGGUUGGACACCGAGCCUCUGUAAAGCUCCUUCGACGAGUCGAGUAGUUUGGGAAUGCUGCUCUAAAUGGGAGGUAUAUGUCUUCUAAAGCUAAAUACUGGCCAGAGACCGAUAGCGCACAAGUAGAGUGAUCGAAAGAUGAAAAGCACUUUGAAAAGAGAGUUAAAAAGCACGUGAAAUUGUUGAAAGGGAAGCGCUUAUGACCAGACUUGGGCUUGGUUGAUCAUCCGGCGUUCUCGCCGGUGCACUCUUCCAGUUCAGGCCAGCAUCAGUUUGCCCCGGGGGAUAAAAGCUUCGGGAAUGUGGCUCCUCCGGGAGUGUUAUAGCCCGUUGCAUAAUACCCUGGGGCAGACUGAGGACCGCGCUUCGUGCAAGGAUGCUGGCGUAAUGGUCAUCAGCGACCCGUCUUGAAACACGGACCAAGGAGUCGUCUUCGUAUGCGAGUGUUCGGGUGUCAAACCCCUACGCGUAAUGAAAGUGAACGCAGGUGAGAGCUUCGGCGCAUCAUCGACCGAUCCUGAUGUUCUCGGAUGGAUUUGAGUAAGAGCAUACGGGGCCGGACCCGAAAGAAGGUGAACUAUGCCUGUGUAGGGUGAAGCCAGAGGAAACUCUGGUGGAGGCUCGCAGCGGUUCUGACGUGCAAAUCGAUCGUCAAACAUGGGCAUGGGGGCGAAAGACUAAU